This 497-nucleotide ribosomal RNA is filed under the name uncultured bacterium. Its description in RNAcentral is "partial 16S ribosomal RNA". It matches the Rfam family "Bacterial small subunit ribosomal RNA", at positions 28 to 507 of the family's 1533-position model. The record is from RNAcentral.
GAUGAACGCUGGCGGCGUGCCUAAUACAUGCAAGUCGAGCGAACGGACGAGAAGCUUGCUUCUCUGAUGUUAGCGGCGGACGGGUGAGUAACACGUGGAUAACCUACCUAUAAGACCGGGAUAACUUCGGGAAACCGGAGCUAAUACCGGAUAAUAUUUUGAACCGCAUGGUUCAAAAGUGAAAGACGGUCUUGCUGUCACUUAUUGAUGGAUCCGCGCUGCAUUAGCUAGUUGGUAAGGUAACGGCUUACCAAGGCAACGAUGCAUAGCCGACCUGAGAGGGUGAUCGGCCACACUGGAACUGAGACACGGUCCAGACUCCUACGGGAGGCAGCAGUAGGGAAUCUUCCGCAAUGGGCGAAAGCCUGACGGAGCAACGCCGCGUGAGUGAUGAAGGUCUUCGGAUCGUAAAACUCUGUUAUUAGGGAAGAACAUAUGUGUAAGUAACUGUGCACAUCUUGACGGUACCUAAUCAGAAAGCCACGGCUAACUACGUG